AGUGGAGGAUGCUAUAAGCGUGAAUAAUGAGUUCAGGUGGAGGUACCAAAUCGUGGCAAACUCAGUAGUAAAUAACAACGAUGGUUUCCAGGCAAAUAGAGUGAAGGUGAACGAACGGAACCUUUUACGAUUAUUGACCAAUUCUCGGUCGUCAAGGACUAAUUGAACGGGUUAGAAGUAUGGAGCAUCGCUGGGGGAUGUGUGUAGAGUUACAAGGAGACUAUGUAGAAAAUAAAUAAAAACUUUUAGGAAUAAAAUUGUGAUAUCAUUGUUAGGUCGAAAACUUUACAGACUACCCACAUAUUUUAUGAGAAAUUCCACAUCAAAUAAUAUCUAAUAGGUAUUGACAACUUUUUCAUUUUUAACUACAAUUUCUAAUUUUAUGUCAAUUACAAAGAUUAAAAUAAUAUAUCUUAUAAUAAGUUGUUUGCAGAUAUAUUAAAAGUAAAAAAAUGUUUUUUUAAUAUAUGAAAAACUACAUGCAUUGUUCAAUAAUUUAUGAAGCGAGGCAAAUUGUUUUACAUGCUUAUUAUUUGCAUUAUAAACAAUAUAUAAAUAAGAACAUAACUUAUUUUUCAUCUUUUGUUGAAACAAGUGAACGAAGUACGUGUUUAGUGCCUAGCUAUAAAAGUGGUAAUAAGGCUUUACUCAUAAGGUUUUUUCCAUUAAAAAUGACAAAGUUACUACUAUAUGUAGCUCUUGUAUUUGGGUACUAUGUGGCUUCUUCAACAGGGGACAAAGCAGCAUGCGGCUCAUCUGAUGGUAAGUGAUUACCCCCGCCCAUGACCACCCGCAACACUAGGGAAAUUGCAAGUUGUAGACAUUGUC
Achroia grisella is the source of this 828-nucleotide long non-coding RNA. RefSeq lists it as uncharacterized. The transcript has 3 exons. NCBI's taxonomy places the organism in Eukaryota, Metazoa, Arthropoda, Insecta, Lepidoptera, Pyralidae. The record is from RefSeq and is a predicted model, not a curated record.